RNAcentral lists this ribosomal RNA (1444 nucleotides) under uncultured Ralstonia sp. RNAcentral's name for it is "bacterial SSU rRNA". It matches the Rfam family "Bacterial small subunit ribosomal RNA". Lineage: Bacteria; Pseudomonadati; Pseudomonadota; Betaproteobacteria; Burkholderiales; Burkholderiaceae. The record is from RNAcentral.
GCCUUACACAUGCAAGUCGAACGGCAGCAUGAUUCUAGCUUGCUAGAUUGAUGGCGAGUGGCGAACGGGUGAGUAAUACAUCGGAACGUGCCCUGUAGUGGGGGAUAACUAGUCGAAAGAUUAGCUAAUACCGCAUACGACCUGAGGGUGAAAGUGGGGGACCGCAAGGCCUCAUGCUAUAGGAGCGGCCGAUGUCUGAUUAGCUAGUUGGUGAGGUAAAGGCUCACCAAGGCGACGAUCAGUAGCUGGUCUGAGAGGACGAUCAGCCACACUGGGACUGAGACACGGCCCAGACUCCUACGGGAGGCAGCAGUGGGGAAUUUUGGACAAUGGGGGCAACCCUGAUCCAGCAAUGCCGCGUGUGUGAAGAAGGCCUUCGGGUUGUAAAGCACUUUUGUCCGGAAAGAAAUCGCACUUACUAAUAUUAGGUGUGGAUGACGGUACCGGAAAAAUAAGGACCGGCUAACUACGUGCCAGCAGCCGCGGUAAUACGUAGGGUCCAAGCGUUAAUCGGAAUUACUGGGCGUAAAGCGUGCGCAAGGCGGUUGUGCAAGACCGAUGUGAAAUCCCCGGGCUUAACCUGGGAAUUGCAUUGGUGACUGCACGGCUAGAGUGUGUCAGAGGGGGUAAAAUUCCACGUGUAGCAGUGAAAUGCGUAAGAUGUGGAGAAUACGAUGCGAGCAGCCCCUGGAUACACUGACGNUCAUGCACGAAAGCGUGGNGNNNNAACAGNNNUAGAUACCUGGUAGUCCACGCCCUAAACGAUGUCAACUAGUUGUUGGGGAUUCAUUUCUUUAGUAACGUAGCUAACGCGUGAAGUUGACCGCCUGGGGAGUACGGUCGCAAGAUUAAAACUCAAAGGAAUUGACGGGGACCCGCACAAGCGGUGGAUGAUGUGGAUUAAUUCGAUGCAACGCGAAAAACCUUACCUACCCUUGACAUGCCACUAACGAAGCAGAGAUGCAUUAGGUGCUCGAAAGAGAAAGUGGACACAGGUGCUGCAUGGCUGUCGUCAGCUCGUGUCGUGAGAUGUUGGGUUAAGUCCCGCAACGAGCGCAACCCUUGUCUCUAGUUGCUACGAAAGGGCACUCUAGAGAGACUGCCGGUGACAAACCGGAGGAAGGUGGGGAUGACGUCAAGUCCUCAUGGCCCUUAUGGGUAGGGCUUCACACGUCAUACAAUGGUGCAUACAGAGGGUUGCCAGGCCGCGAGGUGGAGCUAAUCCCAGAAAAUGCAUCGUAGUCCGGAUCGUAGUCUGCAACUCGACUGCGUGAAGCUGGAAUCGCUAGUAAUCGCGGAUCAGCAUGCCGCGGUGAAUACGUUCCCGGGUCUUGUACACACCGCCCGUCACACCAUGGGAGUGGGUUUUGCCAGAAGUAGUUAGCCUAACCGCAAGGGGGGCGAUUACCACGGCAGGGUUCAUGACUGGGGUGAAGUCGUAACA